Hippopotamus amphibius kiboko is the source of this 1514-nucleotide long non-coding RNA. RefSeq lists it as uncharacterized. NCBI's taxonomy places the organism in Eukaryota, Metazoa, Chordata, Mammalia, Artiodactyla, Hippopotamidae. The transcript is spliced from 3 exons. The record is from RefSeq and is a predicted model, not a curated record.
CUUCCAUUAAGUACAGGCUAAUGAGACAGCGCAGCUAGGACAAGGCCAGCAGAGUAUCGAGAACUGUUUGUCAAAACUGUCUUCACAUCCUGCGGUUGCUGUGCAAUCCGUGCGAGGGCCCUUCUCCACGCGGUUAUUCCUGAGCUGGUGUCCAGCUUCUGAGUCCAGACCGCACCAACUCAAAUCUGCUUUCAGGGCAACCUGGCAAGUCUCAUGCCUCUGCUCGGAACUUGACCUUGACCUUCAUCCUUUUAUCUUUCCUGCAGGUGUCCUAGUACUUGGGGCGUCUCCAAUGCAAGUCUGAGAAAUUGUCUAAACCCACAGCUGGAGCAAGGGCUCUCAUACACUGCAACCACCACAGUCUUUCCCAAGGGCAGCCUGACCACGUGUGAGACAAGCUAUCCCAUAAGCCUUUCCUUCUGACCAGCAGUUGCCUUUUGGAAUAUGUGGGUCCUGAAGCUCUGAUGUGUGUGAUGUCUGUUCCGAUAUAGGCUCUUCGUCUUUACCCCAGUGAUUUCCUGCAUCUGGGCAGGGUCUGGGAAUCUUUAACAAGCUCUUCACGUGAGUCUUUGAGAACACUGCCCUAAGGAAAUUACUUAUAAAGUGGAUCUAUUUGUGUGAGAUGUUCUCAUAAAACUAUUUGCAAUAGGGGGGAAAAGUGAUAAGGCCCCCAAACUCCACUUGUUGGGAAAGAUUAAACAUUACAGUUUCAUGAAGAAAUGCUAUUUUGACAUUAAACCUAAAAGAUCACAGACCCAUAGACUGAGGAACAGACCUGAGUUACCUUGAAAUCAUCCACUUCAGCGCCUGAGUGGCUUGCUCGUUCUCACAGCAUGAAUUCCCAAUUCUGACAUGGUAAGAAAAAUCUGCAGAAGACAAUGCCACGUAACAAAAGUAGAACCAAGAGACUGCAUGCCACUUUUAGCAAUUAUUUUCAAAACAUUGUGCUCUGACAGUAUCAGAUGAGUCUUAUUAUGAGACUUUCCAGACGUCGUAAGGGAAUUAUGUUGUAGAACAUAGUGGUUUCUGACUGUGGAAGCAGUUGACUACAUCCCCCAAUUAAAGAAUAUUUCCCCCAAAUUCCCUUUCAAGUUUGCAGCGUAAACCUUUGGUUCCAAGAGAUACCCCUUGGCUCAAGCAGCUGCUGUAGUUCCAGCUCACUGCCAAUCACGUCCCCCAAGACCAAAGAAAGGUAUAUGUGUCUAUGCAGAGAAAGAGAUAAAACGAAAGUGACAAAAUAGGAUCAACUGAUGCAUCCACGUGAAUAGCAUCACUUCCCAAGGAGAGAAGGCAAGCGGAGGGCGUGAACAAAGCGUGUGGAUGUGGAUCUUGCGCCCUGCAGGCUGGCUGCUCUGCUGCGGUCCUUAGCCAGCUCCUUCCCUCUGGUCAGCUCCCACAGGCAGCUUCCUUCUAUGCAGGAGGAUUUGGAAACUAGAAACAGUUCCUGGAAACACUGCUGUCUGGUCAUUGGGGGCUGUGAAAUAUUACUAUGAAAUAAAGGCAGUAAUUCUCAA